This is a long non-coding RNA of Apus apus (common swift), 274 nucleotides long. RefSeq lists it as uncharacterized. The transcript has 3 exons. The record is from RefSeq and is a predicted model, not a curated record. NCBI's taxonomy places the organism in Eukaryota, Metazoa, Chordata, Aves, Apodiformes, Apodidae.
AUUCUUCCAGCCCCAGAAGAACAUGGCCAGCCAAUGUGGGGGCACCGCUUGGUCCAGUGUGGUGGCUGCCUGCUCCAGCCUGCCCCACGGUGUCCCGGGACAAGCCAAGGGAUCCCCUCACUGGGGCAGUGAGCACCCUCCUGUGCUUAGCUGCGGGCACUGCACGGGGGAAGCAGUGGCCAUUCCUGCAUACCUCUGGAACAUUUGGGGCAGCCUGAGGAUAACCCUGUCUGGAGGACAACACUGAACAUACAGCCAUACCACUUUAAUAUCA